CUAGUACUCCCUCCGUCCGGAAUUACUUGUUGUAGAAAUGAUAAAACUGAAUAUAUCUAGAAAUAAAAAAUGUCUAGAUACAUUUCUUUCCACCACAAAUAAUUCUGGACGGAGUAAGUAUUUC
Non-coding RNA from Triticum aestivum (bread wheat), 124 nucleotides. Lineage: Eukaryota; Viridiplantae; Streptophyta; Magnoliopsida; Poales; Poaceae. The record is from Rfam.